RNAcentral lists this ribosomal RNA (772 nucleotides) under uncultured bacterium. RNAcentral's name for it is "bacterial SSU rRNA". It matches the Rfam family "Bacterial small subunit ribosomal RNA", at positions 8 to 796 of the family's 1533-position model. The record is from RNAcentral.
AGAGUUUGAUCCUGGCUCAGGACGAACGCUGGCGGCGUGCUUAACACAUGCAAGUCGAACGAGGUCCAUCCUUCGGGAGAAGACCUAGUGGCGAACGGGUGAGUAACACGUGAGCAACCUGCCCCGAAGACUGGGAUAACAGCGGGAAACCGCUGCUAAUACCGGAUGCCCCCAUCGGACCGCAUGGCCUGAUGAGGAAAUGGAUUCCGCUUCGGGAGGGACUCGCGGCCUAUCAGCUUGUUGGUGGGGUAACGGCCCACCAAGGCGACGACGGGUAGCUGGUCUGAGAGGACGAUCAGCCACACUGGGACUGAGACACGGCCCAGACUCCUACGGGAGGCAGCAGUGGGGAAUCUUGCGCAAUGGGCGAAAGCCUGACGCAGCAACGCCGCGUGAGGGAUGAAGGCCUUCGGGUUGUAAACCUCUUUCGAGCAGGGACGAUAAUGACGGUACCUGCAGAAGAAGCUCCGGCCAACUACGUGCCAGCAGCCGCGGUAAUACGUAGGGAGCGAGCGUUGUCCGGAUUCAUUGGGCGUAAAGAGCUCGUAGGCGGCUUGAUAAGUCGGAUGUGAAACCUCCAGGCUCAACCUGGAGUCGCCAUCCGAUACUGUCAUAGCUAGAGUCCGGUAGGGGCCCACGGAACUCCUGGUGUAGCGGUGAAAUGCGCAGAUAUCAGGAAGAACACCGGUGGCGAAGGCGGUGGGCUGGGCCGGCACUGACGCUGAGGAGCGAAAGCGUGGGGAGCGAACGGGAUUAGAUACCCCGGUAGUCC